CACAGAGACUGCAAGCGUUAUUCGGAUUCACUGGGCGUAAAGGGUGCGCAGGCGGUUGUGUGUGUCAGGUGUGAAAGCCCGGGGCUUAACCCCGGAAUUGCGCCUGAAACUACAUGACUAGAGCAUUGGAGAGGGUAGCGGAAUUCACGGUGUAGCAGUGAAAUGCGUAGAUAUCGUGAGGAACACCAGAGGCGAAGGCGGCUACCUGGACAAUUGCUGACGCUCAGGCACGAAAGCGUGGGGAGCAAACAGG
This 253-nucleotide ribosomal RNA is filed under the name uncultured bacterium. RNAcentral's name for it is "partial 16S ribosomal RNA". It matches the Rfam family "Bacterial small subunit ribosomal RNA", at positions 524 to 776 of the family's 1533-position model. The record is from RNAcentral.